UACGGAGGGUGCAAGAGUUAUCCGGAUUUAUUGGGUUUAAAGGGUCCGUAGGCGGGCCCGUAAGUCAGUGGUGAAAUCUCGCAGCUUAACUGCGAAACUGCCAUUGAUACUGCGGGUCUUGAGUGAAUUUGAAGUGGCUGGAAUAAGUAGUGUAGCGGUGAAAUGCAUAGAUAUUACUUAGAACACCGAUUGCGAAGGCAGGUCACUAAGAUUCAACUGACGCUGAGGGACGAAAGCGUGGGGAGCGAACAGGAUUAGAUACCCUGGUAGUCCACGCCGUAAACGAUGCUAACUCGUUUUCGGGCCGCAAGGCUCGGAGACCAAGCGAAAGUGAUAAGUUAGCCACCUGGGGAGUACGUCCGCAAGGAUGAAACUCAAAGGAAUUGACGGGGGCCCGCACAAGCGGUGGAUUAUGUGGUUUAAUUCGAUGAUACCGCGAGGAACCUUACCAAGACUUAAAUGGGAAUUGACAGAUUUAGAAAUAGAUCCUCCUUCGGGCAAUUUUCAAGGUGCUGCAUGGUUGUCGUCAGCUCGUGCCGUGAGGUGUUAGGUUAAGUCCUGCAACGAGCGCAACCCCUGUCACUAGUUGCCAUCAUUCAGUUGGGGACUCUAGUGAGACUGCCUACGCAAGUAGAGAGGAAGGUGGGGAUGACGUCAAAUCAUCACGGCCCUUACGUCUUGGGCCACACACGUAAUACAAUGGCCGGUACAGAGGGCAGCUACCACGCGAGUGGAUGCGAAUCUCGAAAGCCGGUCUCAGUUCGGAUUGGAGUCUGCAACUCGACUCUAUGAAGCUGGAAUCGCUAGUAAUCGCGCAUCAGCCAUGGCGCGGUGAAUACGUUCCCGGGCCUUGUACACACCGCCCGUCAAGCCAUGGAAGUCUGGGGUACCUGAAGUCGGUGACCGUAAAAGGAGCUGCCUAGGGUAAAACAGGUAACUAGGGCU
Molecule: ribosomal RNA, 945 nt
Filed under: uncultured bacterium
Lineage: Bacteria
Description: bacterial SSU rRNA
Rfam family: Bacterial small subunit ribosomal RNA
Source: RNAcentral